Molecule: ribosomal RNA, 253 nt
Filed under: uncultured bacterium
Lineage: Bacteria
Description: partial 16S ribosomal RNA
Rfam family: Bacterial small subunit ribosomal RNA
Source: RNAcentral
UACGUAGGGCGCAAGCGUUGUCCGGAAUUAUUGGGCGUAAAGAGCUCGUAGGCGGUUUGUCGCGUCUGCCGUGAAAAUCCGGGGCUCAACCCCGGACUUGCGGUGGGUACGGGCAGACUAGAGUGUGGUAGGGGAGACUGGAAUUCCUGGUGUAGCGGUGAAAUGCGCAGAUAUCAGGAGGAACACCGAUGGCGAAGGCAGGUCUCUGGGCCACUACUGACGCUGAGAAGCGAAAGCAUGGGGAGCGAACAGG